GUAUCCUUAGCUCAGUAGGUAGAGCGCUUGACUGUUAAUCAAGAUGUCGUAAGUUCGAGCCUUACAGGAUACG
This 73-nucleotide transfer RNA is filed under the name Lactobacillus johnsonii. RNAcentral's name for it is "tRNA-Asn". It matches the Rfam family "tRNA". From Rfam's summary of the family: Transfer RNA (tRNA) molecules are approximately 80 nucleotides in length. Their secondary structure includes four short double-helical elements and three loops (D, anti-codon, and T loops). The record is from RNAcentral. RNAcentral also lists the same sequence under 1 other name. Lineage: Bacteria; Bacillati; Bacillota; Bacilli; Lactobacillales; Lactobacillaceae.